Molecule: ribosomal RNA, 966 nt
Filed under: [Candida] sp. 3t8
Lineage: Eukaryota; Fungi; Ascomycota; Saccharomycetes; Saccharomycetales
Description: SSU rRNA
Rfam family: Eukaryotic small subunit ribosomal RNA
Source: RNAcentral
CUAGUAUAGCAUUUAUACAGUGAAACUGCGAAUGGCUCAUUAAAUCAGUUAUCGUUUAUUUGAUAGUUCCUUUACUACAUGGAUAACCGUGGUAAUUCUAGAGCUAAUAUAUGUUUACAGCCUCGACUUCUGGAAGAGGUGUAUUUAUUAGAUAAAAAAUCAAUGCCUUCGGGCUCUUUGAUGAUUCAUAAUAACUUUUCGAAGCUCAUGGCCUUGUGCUGGAGCUGGUUCAUUCAAAUUUCUGCCCUAUCAACUUUCGAUGGUAGGAUAGUGGCCUACCAUGGUUUUCACGGGUAACGGGGAAUAAGGGUUCGAUUCCGGAGAGGGAGCCUGAGAAACGGCUACCACAUCCAAGGAAGGCAGCAGGCGCGCAAAUUACCCAAUCCUGACACAGGGAGGUAGUGACAAUAUAUAACGAUACAGGGCCCUUAUGGGUCUUGUAAUUGGAAUGAGUACAAUGUAAAUACCUUAACGAGGAACAAUUGGAGGGCAAGUCUGGUGCCAGCAGCCGCGGUAAUUCCAGCUCCAAUAGCGUAUAUUAAAGUUGUUGCAGUUAAAAAGCUCGUAGUUGAACUUUGGGUCUGGUUGACCGGUCUGCUUUUGGCACGUACUGGAUUCAACCGGGCCUUUCCUUCUGGCUAACCUUCACUUUUGUGUUGGCAAACCAGGACUUUUACUUUGAAAAAAUUAGAGUGUUCAAAGCAGGCCUUUGCUCGAAUAUAUUAGCAUGGAAUAAUAAAAUAGGACGUUAUGGUUCUAUUUUGUUGGUUUCUAGGACCAUCGUAAUGAUUAAUAGGGACGGUCGGGGGCAUCAGUAUUCAGUUGUCAGAGGUGAAAUUCUUGGAUUUACUGAAGACUAACUACUGCGAAAGCAUUUGCCAAGGACGUUUUCAUUAAUCAAGAACGAAAGUUAGGGGAUCGAAGAUGAUCAGAUACCGUCGUAGUCUUAACCAUAAACUAUGCCGA